Molecule: non-coding RNA, 885 nt
Organism: Pelodiscus sinensis (Chinese soft-shelled turtle)
Lineage: Eukaryota; Metazoa; Chordata; Testudines; Trionychidae
Source: RefSeq, a predicted model, not a curated record
CACGCCAGACGGAGGUUGUGCCCCGCUGCUUGGUGCCGUGGCUGCGCCCCCCCCCGGAAGGCGGGGGGCGGUGAGCGCUAGAGUCCAGUCAGUGCAGCCACAGCUUCGUUAGGCCCAAGGGGGGACGCUCAACCCCGCCACUGAACCCGGUGUCCAUCCCUCCCGCGCAGUGCUCUGUGCGGGCUCUGGGCCAGCUUCGCUCCACCCCCAGUUAUAGCGGGGCGCAGCCACCGACUCGCAUCAGACAGAAUCUUCCCGCGCCCCGAGUUGCCGUUGGAAGGCACCAGUACAACGGACAGAAUCUGGAUUUCCAAAUAGUUGCACCAGACUGCUACAGAAUUUGGCCCCAUUGGCACAAAAUUGAGAUCAAGCUUGCUGAAGAAUAGAAGAGGCAUCGUUUAAAGUGCUAUGAACAGGCUUAGUCAAAGAAAGCCCUUAAGAACAACAUAAGGAAGCUGCAAAAGAUGUUAUGAAAGCACAAGAGCUGCCAGACUAGUUAGUACUAACACAGCAUUGUCCAAAAAUUGUAUUGUGAUACAGUGUCCAGAAUGGGAAAACCCUUUUUUUUUUUGGAGGAAGGACUUAUAUUGUCCUGAAUUCCUGUGUUUUAAGUGAGACAUAAACAGCAUAAGAUUUCACUGAUGUGUGGCAUGUAUCUAGUUUGUGGUUUUCAUUGAUCCAUUUGCUGUUGACUUUAAAUAACACAUUUUGGUUGAAUGACAGGUUUAUAAACUGUAAGCCUGAUCCCACAAAGUUUGCUUAUGUACAUAGUCCCACUGUCAUAAAUGGAUGGAAGACCAGCCCAUGUGAUGUUUUCCAAGCAUCAUUACAGUUGUUCAAAAUUAUAAAGGGAAUGCUUAACAAUGAGUGAAAAGUAAAAGAGUC